Molecule: ribosomal RNA, 394 nt
Filed under: uncultured bacterium
Lineage: Bacteria
Description: bacterial SSU rRNA
Rfam family: Bacterial small subunit ribosomal RNA
Source: RNAcentral
UUACCGGCUUGAAAGGACUGAAAGUCCGCAAGGCCUAGGUGCUGCAUGGCUGUCGUCAGCUCGUGCCGUGAGGUGUUGGGUUAAGUCCCGUAACGAGCGCAACCCUAUCUUAGUUGCCAACAGAUGGGACUCUAAGAGACUGCCCGCGCAACGGGAGGAAGGUGGGGAUGACGUCAAGUCAUCACGGCCCUUACGCCGGGCUACACACGUGCUACAAUGGGAUACACAGGGCAUGGUAACAGGAGCAAUCCCAAAAUCAUCUCAGUUCGGAUUGAGGUCUGCAACUCGACCUCAUGAAGCUGGAUUCGCUAGUAAUCGGAAUCAGCAUGUCCGGUGAAUACGUUCCCGGGCCUUGUACACACCGCCCGUCAAGCCAUGGAAGUUGGGGACCGAA